RNAcentral lists this ribosomal RNA (207 nucleotides) under uncultured bacterium. RNAcentral's name for it is "partial 16S ribosomal RNA". It matches the Rfam family "Bacterial small subunit ribosomal RNA", at positions 568 to 774 of the family's 1533-position model. The record is from RNAcentral.
UGCGUAGGCGGCUUUGCAAGUCAGAUGUGAAAUCUAUGGGCUCAACCCAUAAACUGCAUUUGAAACUGUAGAGCUUGAGUGAAGUAGAGGCAGGCGGAAUUCCCCGUGUAGCGGUGAAAUGCGUAGAGAUGGGGAGGAACACCAGUGGCGAAGGCGGCCUGCUGGGCUUUAACUGACGCUGAGGCACGAAAGCGUGGGGAGCGAACA